ACACCCGGGGAGUUUGUAACACCCGAAGCCGGUGGAGUAACCUUUUAGGAGCUAGCCGUCGAAGGUGGGACAAAUGAUUGGGGUGAAGUCGUAACAAGGUAGCCGUAUCGGAAGGUGCGGCUGGAUCACCUCCUUUCUAAGGA
RNAcentral lists this ribosomal RNA (143 nucleotides) under Staphylococcus aureus. Its description in RNAcentral is "partial 16S ribosomal RNA". It matches the Rfam family "Bacterial small subunit ribosomal RNA", at positions 1399 to 1533 of the family's 1533-position model. Lineage: Bacteria; Bacillati; Bacillota; Bacilli; Caryophanales; Staphylococcaceae. The record is from RNAcentral.